RNAcentral lists this ribosomal RNA (468 nucleotides) under uncultured bacterium. RNAcentral's name for it is "partial 16S ribosomal RNA". It matches the Rfam family "Bacterial small subunit ribosomal RNA", at positions 28 to 507 of the family's 1533-position model. The record is from RNAcentral.
GACGAACGCUGGCGGCGUGCUUAACACAUGCAAGUCGAACGGAAAGGCCCUGCUUUUGUGGGGUGCUCGAGUGGCGAACGGGUGAGUAACACGUGAGUAACCUGCCCUUGACUUUGGGAUAACUUCAGGAAACUGGGGCUAAUACCGUAUAGUAGCUCCUGCUGCAUGGUGGGGGUUGGAAAGUUUCGGCGGUUGGGGAUGGACUCGCGGCUUAUCAGCUUGUUGGUGGGGUAGUGGCUUAGCAAGGCUUUGGCGGGUAGACGGCCUGAGAGGGAGACCGGCCACAUAGGGCCUGAGAGACGGCAAAGUAUCCUGAGAGAGGAAGAAGUAGGGCAGAUUGUAUAAUAGGCGGAAGGAUGAUGACGGCACGCCGAGAGUGAGAAAACGGCACUCGUGCUGUAACAGGCUUUCAACUGCGUAGAAGGGUACGUGACGGUAAUGGGUAAAGAAGCACCGACUAACUACGUG